GAUGAACGCUGGCGGCGUGCCUAAUACAUGCAAGUCGAGCGAACGGACGAGAGGCUUGCUUCUCUGAUGUUAGCGGCGGACGGGUGAGUAACACGUGGAUAACCUACCUAUAAGACUGGGAUAACUUCGGGAAACCGUAGCUAAUACCGGAUAAUAUUUUGAACCGCAUGGUUCAAAAGUGAAAGACGGUCUUGCUGUCACUUAUAGAUGGAUCCGCGCUGCAUUAGCUAGUUGGUAAGGUAACGGCUUACCAAGGCAACGAUGCAUAGCCGACCUGAGAGGGUGAUCGGCCACACUGGAACUGAGACACGGUCCAGACUCCUACGGGAGGCAGCAGUAGGGAAUCUUCCGCAAUGGGCGAAAGCCUGACGGAGCAACGCCGCGUGAGUGAUGAAGGUCUUCGGAUCGUAAAACUCUGUUAUUAGGGAAGAACAUAUGUGUAAGGAACUGUGCACAUCUUGACGGUACCUAAUCAGAAAGCCACGGCUAACUACGUG
RNAcentral lists this ribosomal RNA (497 nucleotides) under uncultured bacterium. Its description in RNAcentral is "partial 16S ribosomal RNA". It matches the Rfam family "Bacterial small subunit ribosomal RNA", at positions 28 to 507 of the family's 1533-position model. The record is from RNAcentral.